AAUCAACGCUGGCGGCGUGCCUCAGACAUGCAAGUCGAACGAGAACCUCCCUUCGGGGAGGGGACGAGUGGCGCACGGGUGAGUAACACGUGGGUAAGUUUACCUUUGGGUGGGGAACGAACAGCCGGAAACGGCUGCUAAUACCGCAUAAUGCAGCGGCUCGACAUCGAGACAGUUGUUAAAGCGGGGGAGUCGCAAGACCUCGCGCCUAAAGAGAAGCCCGCGGCGGAUUAGCUAGNGGUUAGGGUAA
This 250-nucleotide ribosomal RNA is filed under the name uncultured bacterium. Its description in RNAcentral is "partial 16S ribosomal RNA". It matches the Rfam family "Bacterial small subunit ribosomal RNA", at positions 32 to 260 of the family's 1533-position model. The record is from RNAcentral.